Molecule: unclassified non-coding RNA, 218 nt
Filed under: Hevea brasiliensis (rubber tree)
Lineage: Eukaryota; Viridiplantae; Streptophyta; Magnoliopsida; Malpighiales; Euphorbiaceae
Source: RNAcentral
CGCGACUCCUAGGGACUUACAUGAUUUUCGCGAAUCGCGACGCGCUGCUCAGGUAGGACUUACGCGAUUGCUGUUCAGGUACGACCCCUGGAGACUUGCCCAAAUCUCUUCUUCUUUCUAGUUCUUCCCUUCUUUUCUUCUUCUUCUAUGUUUUUCAACAGUGUGGCUAUGCUGCUUUGUUUUUCAGACCUAUUUUUAGUGGUUGACUGGCGGUGAAG